Molecule: ribosomal RNA, 305 nt
Filed under: uncultured bacterium
Lineage: Bacteria
Description: partial 16S ribosomal RNA
Rfam family: Bacterial small subunit ribosomal RNA
Source: RNAcentral
ACAGCAGCAGCCGCGGUAAUACGGAGGGUGCAAGCGUUAAUCGGAAUUACUGGGCGUAAAGCGCACGCAGGCGGUCUGACAAGUCAGAUGUGAAAUCCCCGGGCUUAACCUGGGAACUGCAUUUGAAACUGUCAGGCUGGAGUCUUGUAGAGGGGGGUAGAAUUCCAGGUGUAGCGGUGAAAUGCGUAGAGAUCUGGAGGAAUACCGGUGGCGAAGGCGGCCCCCUGGACAAAGACUGACGCUCAGGUGCGAAAGCGUGGGGAGCAAACAGGAUUAGAGACCCCUGUAGUCCCUGUCUCUUAUAC